AGCGAGGUAGUAUAAAGGUACAAUGGACUUAUAGUCUGAAAGUGGGGAGUUAUUCCCCUCUCGCUG
This 66-nucleotide transfer RNA is filed under the name Placopecten magellanicus (sea scallop). Its description in RNAcentral is "tRNA-Met". Lineage: Eukaryota; Metazoa; Mollusca; Bivalvia; Pectinida; Pectinidae. The record is from RNAcentral.